GGGUCAUUAGCUCAGCUGGUUAGAGCACUCGGCUCAUAACCGAGUGGUCGGAGGUUCGAGUCCUCCAUGACCCACCA
RNAcentral lists this transfer RNA (77 nucleotides) under Malaciobacter halophilus. RNAcentral describes it as "Arcobacter halophilus tRNA-Met". It matches the Rfam family "tRNA". Rfam says of the family: Transfer RNA (tRNA) molecules are approximately 80 nucleotides in length. Lineage: Bacteria; Pseudomonadati; Campylobacterota; Epsilonproteobacteria; Campylobacterales; Arcobacteraceae. RNAcentral also lists the same sequence under 7 other names. The record is from RNAcentral.